This 301-nucleotide ribosomal RNA is filed under the name uncultured bacterium. Its description in RNAcentral is "partial 16S ribosomal RNA". It matches the Rfam family "Bacterial small subunit ribosomal RNA", at positions 509 to 807 of the family's 1533-position model. The record is from RNAcentral.
CAGUCGCCGCGGUAAUACGAAGGGUGCAAGCGUUACUCGGAAUUACUGGGCGUAAAGCGUGCGUAGGUGGUGGUUUAAGUCCGUUGUGAAAGCCCUGGGCUCAACCUGGGAAUGGCAGUGGAUACUGGCUCGCUAGAGUGUGUCAGAGGAUGGUGGAAUUCCCGGUGUAGCGGUGAAAUGCGUAGAGAUCGGGAGGAACAUCAGUGGCGAAGGCGGCCAUCUGGGACAACACUGACGCUGAGGCACGAAAGCGUGGGGAGCAAACAGGAUUAGAUACCCGCGUAGUCCCUGUCUCUUAUAC